AGCCAUCGUGGAUCACAGUGGAGGCCUGCCCUGUCAUGGUACCUACCUGCUGCACCAGGUACAGGAUUGGUGCACAUGUUGGAGAUCCAGCGGAGGAUCAGAGUGACCCUCAUCCACGAGAAGAGCAGCGAGCUCCAUUGGAAAGAUGUUCAUGAGGUGGUUGUAGGACUUUGAGGCAGUGUGGGACAGCUCCCUGCACAACUCCCUCCUGCUCAACCGCGUCACUCCCUACGGAGAGAAGAUCUACAUGACCUUAUCUGCGUAUCUGGAGCUGGACCAUUGCAUCCAGCCUGCCAUUAUCACCAAAGACCUCUGCACGGUCUUUUAAUCCCAAGACGCCAAGAUUUCCCCACCCUGUUCUCUCAAGAACCUCUUUGGGACUGGAUACUCCAAAACUCCUGACUGCAACCGAGUGACUGGGAUCUACGAGCUGAGCUUGUGUAAGACAUCUGACACUGGAAGCCCAGGAGGAAUUGUGGAGACCAGGAAGCAGCACACGGACAGUACACAGGGAACGGGCACGGAGCACGGGUUAAAGGAGAAGACACGGAACAGGAGUCGGGAUCGCACAAGCUUCUGAAGUCGUUCAAAGUUGCUUAGCCCUUUGAACGACUUCAGAAGCUGUCUUUUUUAUGUUUGUCUUCAGAGUUUAGGAACUGUUUGCCUGUCAAACCAUGGACCAUGAGCAUGGAGCGGGAGUCAGGAGCACGUUCAUGGAAACCACUUCUUUCCUUCUGUUUCACGAUUGUUCACAUUUCUCACUGUAAAUAAACACACCGACUCUGAUGGGAAAAUCCUGCAUUUGGUCCCGGUUCUUGCCACGCAUCUUGACAUAAGUAAUAAACACUUUGAUUUAGAAACUGCAUUUUGUGUUCACUUGUGUUAUCAUUAUCUAAUAUUUAAAUUUGUUUAAUGAUCUGAAACAGUUUUUCACAUCACUGUACGUACGUAGAAGUUCUACUCAAACUCUAUGAACAGAAUCAUUCUAACAAUGUGAACCAAGCUGUCACUGCAUCUGUACUAAUACUCAGUUUGUAAGUACAGACAUGAUUCCUCAUGCUACAAAACAACCCUAAGAGAUGCGGUUAAUAUAUUGACCAGUUGGGUAAACUUGUCAACACUGUUCUUCAGAGGAUAAAGUGCUGGUGCUAUGUUCCACCACCAGACUUGCACACAAUGUUGCAGAGAUGUGCCAAGCAGGAAAGCACAAGAGCCUUAAGGCUAGUUCCAGAACUUUCU
Non-coding RNA from Maylandia zebra (zebra mbuna), 1239 nucleotides. The record is from RefSeq and is a predicted model, not a curated record. NCBI's taxonomy places the organism in Eukaryota, Metazoa, Chordata, Actinopteri, Cichliformes, Cichlidae.